GACAGCAGUAGCCUGCUUCUGAUGCCUCUGGCCUGAUACUCCUACAUCCACCACCUGUCCAGUCCAAUUCUGCAAGGCUAAAUACAUUAGACUAGACAAGCACCUGCAAAAAAUCCACAAACUUGAGAAACCUACCAUCACUCUCUACAUGCAGAGAGGAUAGAUGUUACAAAGGAACUGGCACUCCUGAGAGCUUCAAGCCCGCUCUUCAAGCCACACCAAAUGUGUGCCUCCUUCAAAAUCUAGUCAGGCCCAGAAGAGGGCAUGAGUUUGCCAGCCCAAAUUUGUCUUCUCCUUAUCACUCUGCAGUCAAAACUCCCUGUCCACAUUCCACUCCAAAAAGGUUUCCUCCUUCCAAGUCUCCCAGCGAGUCUCCCAAUGAGCCUGGUGCUUAAGAAUCAAAGGAUCACAGUUCGAGGCCCUACUGGUGUAAGAGCACC
Clarias gariepinus (North African catfish) is the source of this 440-nucleotide long non-coding RNA. RefSeq lists it as uncharacterized. The record is from RefSeq and is a predicted model, not a curated record. The transcript has 3 exons. Lineage: Eukaryota; Metazoa; Chordata; Actinopteri; Siluriformes; Clariidae.